CUGUUAGAGUGGAAUGCUUGGGAGAGAUGUUUGGAGUGCUGAGACAUGUUAGUACUACAACUUGCUGCACAGUUUGGAGGAAGAAGGCUACCUUCACCUGUCGAAUUCUAUCCACCUCUUCUGUGUGGGAUAUGUGUUCCUACCUCGUCUGCGAGCAGAUCUGCAGCAUUCCACAGAGAGUUGGAAUAGUCACCCAUUAAGUAGAGAGGCGUAUCUGACACCUCACCAGCUGUGGCAUGUCGGAAUGCUCCAAACACCUGUGUCUGAACCAGACUAUGCAGAGGUAAAGUAAUGACCUACCUAAAGUACAGAGAGAUCCUCAUGAGAGAGCUGCUGGAGGAGCACCACACCCCUCUGCGCCGAUCCACUGGGGGUCGUCCUGCUGCGGACAAUCCCCUACGCAUCACUGUACGGCCUUUUCCCUGCAAAGUCCCUCAAACUACUUCUCAAGGUAGUCACACACGGAGGCACUGCAAAGUCUGCCUGUCUGGCACCAGGAGAAGGAAGCAGAGGAGGUUGACAAAGUACAUGUGGGUUACAAGCUAAACACCUCUGUGUUUCACCAUGCUUCGGGGAGUAUCAUAUGCUCAAGCACUAUUGAGCACAUCUGCAGCAAUUACUGACUGACCUGACAGGUGGAUUGACAGGUGACCUGCCAUGAUACUAUGCCUUUAGAGGUGGGGG
Molecule: long non-coding RNA, 684 nt
Filed under: Salmo salar (Atlantic salmon)
Lineage: Eukaryota; Metazoa; Chordata; Actinopteri; Salmoniformes; Salmonidae
Description: lncRNA (ENSSSAG00000117333.1)
Source: RNAcentral